This 836-nucleotide ribosomal RNA is filed under the name Neobulgaria pura. RNAcentral's name for it is "eukaryotic LSU rRNA". It matches the Rfam family "Eukaryotic large subunit ribosomal RNA", at positions 72 to 920 of the family's 3401-position model. Lineage: Eukaryota; Fungi; Ascomycota; Leotiomycetes; Helotiales; Gelatinodiscaceae. The record is from RNAcentral.
GGAUUGCCCUAGUAACGGCGAGUGAAGCGGCAACAGCUCAAAUUUGAAAUCUGGCCCCCUCCGGGGUCCGAGUUGUAAUUUGCAGAAGAGUCUUCGGGUGUGGCCCCGGUCUAAGUCCCUUGGCACAGGACGUCAUAGAGGGUGAGAACCCCGUAUGUGACCGGGCGCCUACGCCCAUGUGAAGCUCUUUCAACGAGUCGAGUUGUUUGGGAAUGCAGCUCAAAAUGGGUGGUAUAUUCCAUCUAAAGCUAAAUAUUGGCCAGAGACCGAUAGCGCACAAGUAGAGUGAUCGAAAGAUGAAAAGCACUUUGAAAAGAGAGUCAAAUAGUACGUGAAAUUGUUAAAAGGGAAGCUCUUGCUACCAGACGCGGGCGCCGUUGAUCAUCCUAGGUUCUCCUGGGUGCACUCGGCGGUGCUCGGGUCAGCAUCGGUUUGGGUGGCGGGACAAAGGCCUUGGGAAUGUAGCUCCCCCCUCGGGGGGAGUGUUAUAGCCCUCGGUGUAAUGCCGCCUACCCGGACCGAGGACCGCGCUUCGGCGAGGAUGCUGGCAUAAUGGUCGUAAGCGGCCCGUCUUGAAACACGGACCAAGGAGUCUAACAUCUAUGCGAGUGUUUGGGUGGUAAACCCAUUCGCGGAAUGAAAGUGAACUUAGCUGAGAACCCCUCGGGGCGCACCAGCGACCGAUCCUGAUGUCUUCGGACGGAUUUGAGUAUGAGCAUAGCUGUUGGGACCCGAAAGAUGGUGAACUAUGCUUGCAUAGGGUGAAGCCAGAGGAAACUCUGGUGGAGGCUCGCAGCGGUUCUGACGUGCAAAUCGAUCGUCAAAUGUGGGCAUAG